Molecule: unclassified non-coding RNA, 329 nt
Filed under: soil metagenome
Description: partial contains 5.8S ribosomal RNA, internal transcribed spacer 2, and large subunit ribosomal RNA
Rfam family: 5.8S ribosomal RNA (bases 2-120)
Source: RNAcentral
AAUGAAGAACGUAGCGAAAUGCGAAAAGUAGUGUGAAUUGCAGAAUUCAGUGAAUCAUCGAAUCUUUGAACGCACAUUGCGCCCCUUGGUAUUCCGAGGGGCAUGCCUGUUCGAGCGUCAUUAUAACCCCUCAAGCUCAGCUUGGUGUUGGGGCCUGCUGCACUGGCAGCCCUUAAAAUCAGUGGCGGCGCCAUCUGGCUCUAAGCGUAGUAAUUCUUCUCGCUAUGGAGUCCUGGUGGAUGCUUGCCAUCAACCCCCAAUUUUUCUAUGGUUGACCUCGGAUCAGGUAGGGAUACCCGCUGAACUUAAGCAUAUCAAUAAGCGGAGAA